UUGUGCACCUUGCGCACCGGAGGUGCUGCCGAAAUUUCCGCUGCGCACAACAGGCGUGUUAGUAUGCAGGCAACCAGCUUGCAGCCAUCCAUUUUGGGCUAAAUUACAAAAUUGGUAUUUUUAUUAAUACACACUUUUCGUUUUGGUAUUUGUAGUUUCUCCAGCAACAUUAAGGUAUCAAUAUUGAAUUUUCUCGACUAAAUUACCAAAUUGGUAUUCUUAGGAGGAAACAAGUUCUGAUUUGGUAUUUUGUUUGUUUGCAGCUAUCCAUCUGCUUUGUUACAGAGGAGAGAAACAAAUACAUUUAUUGAAUGCAGUGGUAUUUGAACCCACACCCUUUUGAACCCAUAUCCUUUUGGACCAGUCUAGAUAUGACGCCUUAGACCACUCAGUCAAACUGUGGCAAUCAUGAUAUUCAAUGAUGAUAUGCCUUUAAAUCGUUUAGGAUUCAGUUCAUUUUGCUCUUUUUCUUAGUAUAAAAAGGCAAUGAAGAUUUGCCCGAAAGCUUUUAGAUUUUGAUGAUGGUUAAGGUUUGAGUUGCCUAGUUGUACACAGGGUACCACUUUGCAGUCGUUAUUUGUUAGAGAAAAAGGAGAGAGACAAUAUUCAUCACGGCAAUGUGGUGAAAACUGGCACAUCUGAAUCUCAUCAAAUAACUCGCCAUGCAAGCUAGCUUGCAAUAUGGUGAGAUCUUGUUGGUUAUUACAAAUUCAUCGUGCCGAUGCCUUCAUAAUUAUUUAGUAUCCAUGCUUACAACUAUAUUUGUUGCAGAACUUGGUAUGAUUUUCUUGCCUGCUCUCUCAUAUACACACACCUCUCUUUCUACCGACUUCUUUCCUUUUGACUAUUUAAAGGUUAUGAUGUUCAUUUUUUUUGCUUAAGAAAAUUUAGGGUACUUUCUAUUUUUCUAUUUGGGAUCUUCCGAUUACAAUUGGGUUUACGAUUCUGUGAUUUCCAAUUUCUUGAUUUGUAAUAUAGCAAUUUUAAUUGCAAGCAUCUAACAAUUUAACAAAGACAAUUCACUAGUUUUGUUUUCCACUUUUGUUACUAUAGUUGCAAUAACGAAAAGUUUAUAGUCUUUCUUUUUCUCCUUGCAAUCUUUAUGCAGAUAUUUUUUUCUGGGAUUCGUGGAUUGUUAUGAUAAUUAUGAUCAUGAUGAUGAUAAUGUUUUGUUAUCCUGGUACAUGGUUUAAUAUGCGGUAAGUAAGCUUGUACCAAACUCUGCAGCCUUCAAAUAUUCAGGGCCAGUUUCAAAGGGGGUACAGAAGAAAAUUUGGAUGCACGAAUUGUGUGUGAUACCUAUUUUUUGAAGAGUUUGUUUCUUUUAUGAUUGUCAUGUAUCAUAUCUUGCUCAGUUUGUUUUCACGUUUCUAGCUGGUGACUAUGGUUCCUGCAUUUUCUUAUUUUUCUUUAUCAUAGUGAGGCAAUGAUGAUUUGCCUUAAAGCCUUUUGGCUUUGAUGAUUGGAUUGGAUACAUUUUGGGGUAUAUAGGCAAAAACCACAUAAAAACUGGUCUUUUUAGAAGCUUGACAGAACCUAAAAGUCAUUAGAGGCAAUGAUAAUUUGUUAGAGAACUCCAAUUGAAUCAAUUCUUUGAUUCCUAACGCUAUAAAAAUGGCGAGGCAAGGUUGGGUCAGCUGUUCUGUCUCAGGCCUCCUGUUUGCAGCCAAUUUUAUAUUUGGGUUUUAAGGUAAGUGAACUUUUUAUUUUUGGAUGUAUGAGAAUAUGUAGAUCAAUGCGGGUAAAACUUUCGGUUUAUAGGCAAAAACCGCUUUUAUUUCUCAAUGAAGAGAGAGAGAGAGAGAGAGCAAGAGAGCGCACGCGCAUUUGUUCAUUGCCGCAAUGUGGCAUAUCUGAGCCUUCUGUUUGUGUCUUUAUCUGCAGUUUAGGAUUACUAUUUUUUUAGAGUGUUUUAUAUCCUUUUCUUUGAAGUUGUUUGAUACAUUUAUUUUUGGGUUUAUAAAUGUACAUCUCUACUGGCUGGCAAUAUUUCCAGCUCUCUUAUACAACAAAAAUUCCCCUUUAUGAAGGUAAAUGAUUCAUUUUUUUUUUUGCAUUGGUUUGGAUCUAGAAAAGAUAAGAUUAAUGAGAAAUUUCCUUUGUUUGAUUGAAUUGCAGAUUUUCUGGUGCUGGUAGCGGUGUUUGUGCAAAAUGCAAGAUCUUUUUAAUAUCCGGGUUUUGUGGACUCCUCAAAUCUCUCAGUUACAGAUUGUGGGAAGCAUGAUCCAGAGCUAAACAAGGAGAUGGAGAAGUAAUUUUGUCGAUCUCAUUAGCAAGGAGCUCAAGUUUCAGGAUGCUGUGUCCAAAAAGCACGCUCGUCACAUGAACAUCACUAUGGUUGAGGCCAAGAGACUGGCUUCUCAGUAUCAGAAAGAGGACGAGAAAUGCAACACAGAGACAGAGACAUGCAAGGAGGCAAGAAAGCGGGCUUAAGCAGCCUCAACCCUUACCGAGGAGAAGCGAAUCACUUAUAUCUGGGAGCAAAGGGGUCGUUGAAGUGGCUGGCAAGAUGUGUAAUCCUUGAAAAAUUAUAUAUUUACUUGAAAAUUUGUUACGUUGUCAUGGAAAAACAUGUAUUUUGUUUCCUUCUUGGGGAGAAAACUUGUCCAGAAAGGUAAUAAAGUUUAUUUUUCAGGUUAA
Long non-coding RNA from Asparagus officinalis (garden asparagus), 2640 nucleotides. RefSeq lists it as uncharacterized. The record is from RefSeq and is a predicted model, not a curated record. The transcript has 3 exons. NCBI's taxonomy places the organism in Eukaryota, Viridiplantae, Streptophyta, Magnoliopsida, Asparagales, Asparagaceae.